Molecule: ribosomal RNA, 497 nt
Filed under: uncultured bacterium
Lineage: Bacteria
Description: partial 16S ribosomal RNA
Rfam family: Bacterial small subunit ribosomal RNA
Source: RNAcentral
GAUGAACGCUGGCGGCGUGCCUAAUACAUGCAAGUCGAGCGAACAGACGAGGAGCUUGCUCCUCUGACGUUAGCGGCGGACGGGUGAGUAACACGUGGAUAACCUACCUAUAAGACUGGGAUAACUUCGGGAAACCGGAGCUAAUACCGGAUAAUAUAUUGAACCGCAUGGUUCAAUAGUGAAAGACGGUUUUGCUGUCACUUAUAGAUGGAUCCGCGCCGCAUUAGCCAGUUGGUAAGGUAACGCCUUACCAAGGCAACGAUGCGUAGCCGACCUGAGAGGGUGAUCGGCCACACUGGAACUGAGACACGGUCCAGACUCCUACGGGAGGCAGCAGUAGGGAAUCUUCCGCAAUGGGCGAAAGCCUGACGGAGCAACGCCGCGUGAGUGAUGAAGGUCUUCGGAUCGUAAAACUCUGUUAUUAGGGAAGAACAAAUGUGUAAGUAACUAUGCACGUCUUGACGGUACCUAAUCAGAAAGCCACGGCUAACUACGUG